Molecule: ribosomal RNA, 234 nt
Filed under: uncultured bacterium
Lineage: Bacteria
Description: partial 16S ribosomal RNA
Rfam family: Bacterial small subunit ribosomal RNA
Source: RNAcentral
UGAGUAACCUGCCCUUAACUCUGGGAUAAGCCUGGGGAAACUGGGUCUAAUACCGGAUAUGACUCCUCAUCGCAUGGUGGGGGGUGGAAAGCUUUUUGUGGUUUUGGAUGGACUCGCGGCCUAUCAGCUUGUUGGUGAGGUAAUGGCUCACCAAGGCGACGACGGGUAGCCGGCCUGAGAGGGUGACCGGCCACACUGGGACUGAGACACGGCCCAGACUCCUACGGGGGGCAG